Molecule: unclassified non-coding RNA, 378 nt
Filed under: plant metagenome
Description: partial contains 5.8S ribosomal RNA, internal transcribed spacer 2, and large subunit ribosomal RNA
Rfam family: 5.8S ribosomal RNA (bases 1-105)
Source: RNAcentral
GAAAUGCGAUAAGUAAUGUAAAUUGCAGAAUUCAGUGAAUCAUCGAAUCUUUGAACACAUCUUGCGCUCCUUGGUAUUCCUUGGAGCAUGCCUGUUUGAGUAUCAUGAAAUCUUCAAAGUAAAUCUUUUGUUAACUCAAUUGGUUUCUACUUUGGUAUUGGAGGUCUUUGCAGCUUCACACCUGCUCCUCUUUGUUCAUUAGCUGGAUCUCAGUGUUAUGCUUGGUUCCACUCGGCGUGAUAAGUUAUCUAUCGCUGAGGACACUGUAAAAGGUGGCCAAGGUAAAUGCAGAUGAACCGCUUCUAAUAGUCCAUUGACUUGGACAAUACUUUUAUGAUCUGAUCUCAAAUCAGGUAGGACUACCCGCUGAACUUAAGC